UACAAGCAAGGAUGUAUGUUAGGUAGAUUGAUUCGGUAAUUAUAAUUUGUAACGGACUACAAGGCAAAUAAGAAUUACAAGCAACGGCAAUGUCAUGACGAGGGUUUACAACUAUUCACUCAUGUGACAGUGUAUAUAAAUCCAAUGACUUGGCUCAAUUUCAGUCACUGCGCGUUCUUUAGACAACAUGAAGUUCGCUAUUAUAUUGAUUUUAUUCGGAUUGAUUGGUGGGAUUAUAUGUGAAUUGCGCUCGAAACGGCUGCGUCAUCAUCAUAAAAAAUUGUCUGGUUGGGACGAGAAAUAUCUCUUUUGUUUUAGGAAAUGUUACAAAACUAUAAAUACUAUAAUGUUCAGAUUACCUAUCUGUGCCAGUGAUGGUCGCACUUAUUUCAACGACUGUCAUUUGUCAUGCGUUCGCAACGGUAAUAUCGGUCUUUAUAAGGUACACGACGGACCAUGUUAGGUAGAACCAUGGUAGAACAACGUUUCUGUGUGUGUGUCUAAUAAACAUCUACAAUUGGA
Molecule: long non-coding RNA, 522 nt
Organism: Leguminivora glycinivorella
Lineage: Eukaryota; Metazoa; Arthropoda; Insecta; Lepidoptera; Tortricidae
Exons: 2
Source: RefSeq, a predicted model, not a curated record